RNAcentral lists this ribosomal RNA (496 nucleotides) under uncultured bacterium. RNAcentral's name for it is "partial 16S ribosomal RNA". It matches the Rfam family "Bacterial small subunit ribosomal RNA", at positions 28 to 506 of the family's 1533-position model. The record is from RNAcentral.
GAUGAACGCUGGCGGCGUGCCUAAUACAUGCAAGUCGAGCGAACAGACGAGGAGCUUGCUCCUCUGACGUUAGCGGCGGACGGGUGAGUAACACGUGGAUAACCUACCUAUAAGACUGGGAUAACUUCGGGAAACCGGAGCUAAUACCGGAUAAUAUAUUGAACCGCAUGGUUCAAUAGUGAAAGACGGUUUUGCUGUCACUUAUAGAUGGAUCCGCGCCGCAUUAGCUAGUUGGUAAGGUAACGGCUUACCAAGGCGACGAUGCGUAGCCGACCUGAGAGGGUGAUCGGCCACACUGGAACUGAGACACGGUCCAGACCCCUACGGGAGGCAGCAGUGGGGAAUCUUCCGAAAUGGGCGAAAGCCUGACGGACCAACGCCGCGUGGGUGAUGAAGGUCUUCGGAUCGUAAAACCUUGUUAUUAGGGAAAAACAAAUGGGUAAGUAACUAUGCCCGUCUUGACGGUACCUAAUCAGAAAGCCACGGCUAACUACGU